AUAGGCGAAGCGUGCGAUUGGAUUGCACGUCUAAGCAGUAAGGCUGAGUAUUAGGCAAAUCCGGUACUCGUUAAGGCUGAGCUGUGAUGGGGAGAAGACAUUGUGUCUUCGAGUCGUUGAUUUCACACUGCCGAGAAAAGCCUCUAGAUAGAAAAUAGGUGCCCGUACCGCAAACCGACACAGGUAGUCAAGAUGAGAAUUCUAAGGUGAGCGAGCGAACUCUCGUUAAGGAACUCGGCAAAAUGACCCCGUAACUUCGGGAGAAGGGGUGCUCUUUAGGGUUAACGCCCAGAAGAGCCGCAGUGAAUAGGCCCAAGCGACUGUUUAUCAAAAACACAGGUCUCUGCUAAACCGUAAGGUGAUGUAUAGGGGCUGACGCCUGCCCGGUGCUGGAAGGUUAAGAGGAGUGGUUAGCUUCUGCGAAGCUACGAAUCGAAGCCCCAGUAAACGGCGGCCGUAACUAUAACGGUCCUAAGGUAGCGAAAUUCCUUGUCGGGUAAGUUCCGACCCGCACGAAAGGCGUAACGAUUUGGGCACUGUCUCAACGAGAGACUCGGUGAAAUCAUAGUACCUGUGAAGAUGCAGGUUACCCGCGACAGGACGGAAAGACCCCGUGGAGCUUUACUGUAGCCUGAUAUUGAAAUUCGGCACAGCUUGUACAGGAUAGGUAGGAGCCUUUGAAACGUGAGCGCUAGCUUACGUGGAGGCGCUGGUGGGAUACUACCCUAGCUGUGUUGGCUUUCUAACCCGCACCACUUAUCGUGGUGGGAGACAGUGUCAGGCGGGCAGUUUGACUGGGGCGGUCGCCUCCUAAAAGGUAACGGAGGCGCUCAAAGGUUCCCUCAGAAUGGUUGGAAAUCAUUCAUAGAGUGUAAAGGCAUAAGGGAGCUUGACUGCGAGACCUACAAGUCGAGCAGGGUCGAAAGACGGACUUAGUGAUCCGGUGGUUCCGCAUGGAAGGGCCAUCGCUCAACGGAUAAAAGCUACCCCGGGGAUAACAGGCUUAUCUCCCCCAAGAGUUCACAUCGACGGGGAGGUUUGGCACCUCGAUGUCGGCUCAUCGCAUCCUGGGGCUGUAGUCGGUCCCAAGGGUUGGGCUGUUCGCCCAUUAAAGCGGUACGCGAGCUGGGUUCAGAACGUCGUGAGACAGUUCGGUCCCUAUCCGUCGUGGGCGUAGGAAAUUUGAGAGGAGCUGUCCUUAGUACGAGAGGACCGGGAUGGACAUACCUCUGGUGUACCAGUUGUCGUGCCAACGGCAUAGCUGGGUAGCUAUGUGUGGACGGGAUAAGUGCUGAAAGCAUCUAAGCAUGAAGCCCCCCUCAAGAUGAGAUUUCCCAACUUCGGUUAUAAGAUCCCUCAAAGAUGAUGAGGUUAAUAGGUUCGAGGUGGAAGCAUGGUGACAUGUGGAGCUGACGAAUACUAAUCGAUCGAAGACUUAAUC
Molecule: ribosomal RNA, 1441 nt
Filed under: Staphylococcus aureus
Lineage: Bacteria; Bacillati; Bacillota; Bacilli; Caryophanales; Staphylococcaceae
Description: bacterial LSU rRNA
Rfam family: Bacterial large subunit ribosomal RNA
Source: RNAcentral